Molecule: ribosomal RNA, 255 nt
Filed under: Streptomyces hesseae
Lineage: Bacteria; Bacillati; Actinomycetota; Actinomycetes; Kitasatosporales; Streptomycetaceae
Description: Streptomyces sp. DSM 40473 partial 23S ribosomal RNA
Rfam family: Bacterial large subunit ribosomal RNA
Source: RNAcentral
AGCGAUGGGGUGACGCAGGAAGGUAGUCCAGCCCGGGCGGUGGUAGUCCCGGGGUAAGGGUGUAGGCCGUGUGAUAGGCAAAUCCGUCACACGUUAAGGCUGAGACCUGAUGCCGAGCCGAUUGUGGCGAAGUGGAUGAUCCUAUGCUGUCGAGAAAAGCCUCUAGCGAGUUUCAUGGCGGCCCGUACCCUAAACCGACUCAGGUAGUCAGGUAGAGAAUACCGAGGCGUUCGGGUGAACUAUGGUUAAGGAACU